Molecule: ribosomal RNA, 450 nt
Filed under: uncultured bacterium
Lineage: Bacteria
Description: bacterial SSU rRNA
Rfam family: Bacterial small subunit ribosomal RNA
Source: RNAcentral
GUAGGGAAUAUUGGACAAUGGGCGAAAGCCUGAUCCAGCCAUGCCACGUGUGUGAAGAAGGUCUUCGGAUUGUAAAGCACUUUAAGUUGGGAGGAAGGGCAGUAAGUUAAUACCUUGCUGUUUUGACGUUACCGACAGAAUAAGCACCGGCUAACUUCGUGCCAGCAGCCGCGGUAAUACGAAGGGUGCAAGCGUUAAUCGGAAUUACUGGGCGUAAAGCGCGCGUAGGUGGUUUUGUAAGUUGGAGGUGAAAUCCCCGGGCUCAACCUGGGAACUGCCUCCAAAACUGCAUGACUAGAGUACGGUAGAGGGUAGUGGAAUUUCCUGUGUAGCGGUGAAAUGCGUAGAUAUAGGAAGGAACACCAGUGGCGAAGGCGACUACCUGGACUGAUACUGACACUGAGGUGCGAAAGCGUGGGGAGCAAACAGGAUUAGAUACCCCGGUAGUCC